This 1175-nucleotide long non-coding RNA is filed under the name Olea europaea subsp. europaea. The record is from RNAcentral. Lineage: Eukaryota; Viridiplantae; Streptophyta; Magnoliopsida; Lamiales; Oleaceae.
GUCGUAUCCACAAAUCUCUAUGUGGCCUUAAGCAAACCUCACCAAUGUUACUUGAAACCAUCUUAUGGUCCUCACUCUUGCAGGUUCUGGCCAAUCCUUAGCUGAUCAUAGUCUUGUGAUCAAAAUCUAGAGCAAGGUAUUUAUUAUCAUCCUUAUCUAUGUUGACAUUUUGGUUUCUGGGAAUGACCUAUCUGCCAUCAAUUCCAUCAAACAACACUUGUAAAGGCCUUCAAGAUUAAAGACCUUGCUGACCUCAAGUAUUUUCUUGGGAUUGAGGUUGCUAGGUUUCCUACCGACAACUUUUUUAUUGGGCAGUCUCUUUGAUUCUGGUCAACUAGGCUAUCAUUUUGCAUACUUUCCCAUGGAAUAACACUGUAAACUUAAUAACUUGGAUGGUGACUUCAUGGAAGGAAGAUCCCAGCUCAUAUCGACGAUUAGUUAGGGUUUGAUCUAUUUAACCAUUUUCCAGCCACAUAUAACCUUUGUUGUCAAUAUUUUAAGUCAGUUCGCGCAUGCUCCUUAUGAGCCUCAUCAUCUAGCUGCUCUUUGUAUGCUUUGCUAUUUGAAGACCACUUCUGGUUAUGGUCUUCUCUUUUUAUCUAAAUGCAGUUGUCGUGGCGCUCAUAGAAGAAAGCUACUAUCCCUGCUCUUCGGAUGAAGCUGAAUAGUGUGCGAUGGACGCUACAACUUGGGAACUUUUUUAGGUUUCUCUUCUCUUGCAAGCUCUCAUGGUUCUCCAUCGUUAGCCUAUCUUCUUCAAUUUAUCAACCAGACAGCCAUUCACAUAGCUCGAAAUCCAUCUUUUCCCACACAUGGAAUUCUAUUGUCAUCUCGUCAUGCGAGAAGAUUCAUUAUGGUCUACUUACUCCUUAUAUCUCAACCUCUGAAAGACAAGCGGAUAUUUUUACUAAACCCUUGGGACAUGAAUUGUUUUACCUUUUCCACUCCAAUUUGGGCAUUAUGGACCUUCAUAUUCCAACUUGAAAGAGUUUAUCACGAGUCACAUGCCUAAACUCUAGCGCAAGAUUAGCACAUAUCACGUUCACUGCACGAAUUAAGCAAACUUUCUCCAUGGACAGUUUAAUUUCCUUACGUGCUUUACUUACCAUGUAUUGCUCAAAUUUUCUAUCUACAAAUGUGUACACAAUCCUUGUCAAUCUUACACUGGUGAAUAA